Helianthus annuus (common sunflower) is the source of this 286-nucleotide long non-coding RNA. RefSeq lists it as uncharacterized. NCBI's taxonomy places the organism in Eukaryota, Viridiplantae, Streptophyta, Magnoliopsida, Asterales, Asteraceae. The record is from RefSeq and is a predicted model, not a curated record. The transcript has 2 exons.
GCGGUAACAUGAAAGCAUUAGGGAUCAUGUGGACGUGGACUCAAGCACGAAAGACUAACGGGUCAAGAUGAGGCAAGCAAGCGGGUAUGAACACGGAUGCACAAGGUGGUACGUGUCACGGAGGAUCAUCAAGGAAUAUAGAUCAAGGAUCGAGUCACUUGAGGGAUUGUACGGGGCUGUCUGAGGAUGUAAUUUAUUGUACAUAAGCUAUCAAUUAUUUUAUUAUUGAGUCAGUUUGUUGUAUUUAAUAUAAAAGAGUUAUUUUAAAAAGUGAACUUUCAAGUAA